UCCCUUUCUCUAUCCAAUCUCCAUCGACCUACUACAACCGCCGCCUCCUCCUCGAUCCAUGUGCUCUCCCUUUGCCGCCGCCACCGGAGAGGCUUGCCUCCGCGGCCGCACGCCUUACAUCCGAUGGAAGGAAAAGGAGGAAGAGGCCCGCACUGUCCUGUUCUCCGAGGUGGUGGAGGAGCAUCCGAGGGCGAUGACGGCGUCCUUGGCCGAGCAGACGGACGAAAGGGGGGAGAGGGGUGUAGCCGCUCAUGGGGAUCGAGGGGAAGGAGAAAGGUGAUGAUGAUGCCGGCUACUUGGGGAAGGGGAUGCGGGCGACCUGGGGUGAGUCAAGCGACCUGAGGCGAGGACGGUGGCGACCUAUGGAAGGAAUGGGACGCCGGUGACCUUGGGAAGGAAGGGGAGGCCGGCGAAUUGGGGUAGGGGAUGCGGGUGACCUGGGGAACGGCGGCUGGGAGCUGCUCAGCCCGUCGUCGCUGUCGGCCGCCGGCGACCACCACCCGUUGCUUGGAGGAUGAGGGGAAUGGAGAAAGAGGAGUAGUAUCAGGAAGGAGUUUUGGGCGAUGGGCAGCCGCGCCAGGCGACAUGCUCGCGGUGCCGCUUGGUGGUGAGAUGAGGCUGCCCCAUGCUCUGUUCUGAUGGGCCUCCUCUGCUCGAUGGUUGCACUGGUUGAGUUUGGUACGGUUCCUGUUGUCGGCUGCGUCGAGCCUUGGGUCUUGUCUGUCCUUCGCGUUGAGAUAAAUAGCACAGAAAACAUAUCAGUGCUCUAUCUGUGUCUAAGGGCUCCAAGAGAUGCAGUCAUAGAUAGUGACUGGUCCCUGAAGUUUGGGAUGUUAAGGAUAAAAUCAAGAAGUUUUCAGAAACUUUUAGUUGUGGCUCAUGGGUUGGAGCAACUGGGAAACCAUUGACAAAUGUGGUCUCAGUUGGAGUUGGUGGUAGCUUCCUUGGACCUCUGUUUGUGGAUGUAGCUCUCCAGAUUGGUUGGAGGCAUUGGUGUGAGGGCAUUGUGGUGACGUGCUCCUCCAUGCCUCAUGCGAGUUCUUGGUGUCGCGAUCAUGUCUCCAGAGAGCAGUGCUUCAAGGUCACUUAAGCUUGAAUGGGUUAUCAAGUCUACUGGAACCAUUCAUGUUAGCCUUGUUCAUUGCUUUUAGGACAGACGCUCCCUUAAGUAUGUUUAAUCACAGUUAAAAGAAGGAAGCCAAAUUAUUGCAAUGUGUGGCUGCAGGUAAAGUUGUCAAGUUGAUCUGGUGCUUGCUUGAGCCAUUGAUUACUGCUGCUUUGCUAAGGUUCAAUGUCUUACUACAUGAGAAAUUUAUUCCAAUGCUUUCUCAAUUCCUUUACCAUGAUGACUACCAGAGGAACCUUCAAUGUGGAUAGAUGGUGAUGGAUAUGGGGACACACAAGAACUAGCAAACUUAAUACCAGAUGCCCUCAACUAUGAAUUCUUUAAUUAUUGGAGGCUUUCAUAUUCAUAUCAAUACAAGGUGGAAUAUGAUGCAGGCUUUAGAAUCACUAAGGUUGCUCUUUCUCUGUUCCUUUGGUCAAGAUAACUUAUAUCCAGCCAAGCGCUUGCCUUGACGUCCUCACAGCUGGAGAUCCAUGACUAAGAGCUCUCCCCAAUGUAUGCAGGUCUCCAUUCAAGCGGAUGAUGACAAAUGUAUGAUGGAUAGAGAGGAAUAAGUUUUCUAGAAAACGUCUUCGUAUUUUAGUGUAUGGUUUUUUAGAGAGGAGGCGCUUUCCCGGCUUUAGCGAAAUGAAGCCCUUAAAGCGUUUACAACCAGAGUAGCAAAACGAGAAUAAAAAAGGGGUUCGAUACAAGCCACACAGGGCUAACACACAAGGCCGAACGAAAACGAAAAACUGAGCAUAACGGAGGAUCAGUCUCCAGGCAUAUUUUUAGUGAAAUAAGGUGGGUACAAGUAAUUUUAGAUCCAAAUUUAGAGCUCUUGCCAGUAAUCAGUAGCAAAAUUCAAGAUUGCCGAGAAGAGAGGUGAACCUAAAGGCUUUAGCACUAUUGUUAGGAUGCUAUGUUGCUUCCAGGCUAUGGAUAAGAAUAGUUCAGUCGCUUGAGAGAUUGUUGAACAUAUGAAAUUGUUGGAAAUCUCUGGGCACCCUCAAGUUAAGCUGCUUGAAAACCAAGUUCAAAUAUGUGUGAGGGUAGUGCAGUUGGGCAUGCGAUUCUAUUGCACCUGAUGUAAUCGGACCAUUAGAUCAGUUUUGAAAUAGUGAUCUUCGAACAAUUUUUUUUGUACUUGUAGGGAUAGUUUUCAUUACUUGAGACAUUUCCCAGAACCAUUAGUAGUCUUGUACAUUGAAUCAAUUUAUUAUACGGCUUUGUUAUUCCUAGGGACAUGUUGAUUGUUUUUCCAUUACAUAGCAUUGUUUUACGGCUAUCGGGCUACCAUCUGUUCCUUGAGGCUGGUGAUUGUACCGUAUUCGUGAUGAUACGUAUGUCCCUUUUAUGUUCCAUUCUUCAGAUAUUAAUGUUGUCAUCUUAAUCAGAACUGAGCAUCGGUUAUGGGCUUUUGGAUUGUGAUCAUCGUUGUUGUGCUGACAUACUUCCCAAGAAGAAACAAAGCUUUUGCCUCCAUUUUUUCGGACUUGUGCCUGUUUUGCCCUACAAAGAUAAGAACGGAUGGUCUUUUCAAGAUUAUUUUUAUUUAAGAUUAUUUUGUGAUUAUCUUUGUAGGGCAAAUCCCACUUUUGGAACACAUUUUAAGAUUUUGGAUCUGGCAUUUUCAAGAUUAUUUCGUACCAUAAAAAAAUUCAUUUAAUUUGCUCAUCUAACAGUAAAGUUAACAAGGCUCAGGAAUCAUUUUGUGUGUGUGUGUGUGUGUGCGUGUUCUAAAGCAACAAGGUCAUCUGGACCUCGCCAGAAAAAUGAGAUCAUCCCAUUUAUAACUGUAGUGCAAAACAUUUUAGAAGAAAAUGCAGACAGGAAUUACACCGUAGACUAAUUUAUAGCAACGUAGUCUUAUCGUACAAAAAACGUCAGGUGCGCUUCCAUACUCAUAGUAAAAUUAUAGCAAGAACAUUUAUGUUUUAUAGGGCUUUUUUGAUGUGCCAUAGGGCUUCUCACGUGCAUGAUGUAAAUUAUUGCCAUGCAGAAGGUAAUAUUACGUGGCUCCUUUUUGGUUUACGGAAUGGAGAACGGUUCCUUCUUUAGAUGUAAUCUUACCUAAAAUGCUUUUGUGUUCUCACAUUUUAAAGGUGUGGCUGUGGGAGAUGGCUGGGGUGAGGAAUAACUAUUCCUUUCUUCUACUCUUUCUUGAUGUAUGCUGUCAUAUAUUGCUUCUCUACUUGCUCAAAAUCAAAUUUGCAUCUAUGAAAAGGUAAGAAAUUAAGGCCAGUGAGAUGGCAGUAGAUUGGCAUGUUUACAG
Molecule: long non-coding RNA, 3380 nt
Organism: Triticum dicoccoides
Lineage: Eukaryota; Viridiplantae; Streptophyta; Magnoliopsida; Poales; Poaceae
Exons: 9
Source: RefSeq, a predicted model, not a curated record